UACGAAGGGGGCUAGCGUUGUUCGGAAUCACUGGGCGUAAAGGGCGCGUAGGCGGCUUUAUAAGUCGGGGGUGAAAGCCUGUGGCUCAACCACAGAAUUGCCUUCGAUACUGUAUGGCUUGAGACCGGAAGAGGUUAGUGGAACUGCGAGUGUAGAGGUGAAAUUCGUAGAUAUUCGCAAGAACACCAGUGGCGAAGGCGGCUGACUGGUCCGGUUCUGACGCUGAGGCGCGAAAGCGUGGGGAGCAAACAGG
Molecule: ribosomal RNA, 253 nt
Filed under: uncultured bacterium
Lineage: Bacteria
Description: partial 16S ribosomal RNA
Rfam family: Bacterial small subunit ribosomal RNA
Source: RNAcentral